This 217-nucleotide long non-coding RNA is filed under the name Elaeis guineensis (African oil palm). Its description in RNAcentral is "long non-coding RNA (EGUI_LNC060566)". Lineage: Eukaryota; Viridiplantae; Streptophyta; Magnoliopsida; Arecales; Arecaceae. The record is from RNAcentral.
CAUUGAAGAAUUUCUACUUUGAAGUCUCAUGGAGAUCACCUUCUUACCAUAUUGUUUAUUUGAGGAAGUAUAAGUUUCGAACUCUUUGCAUGCUUGGAUUUUGUUUUGUUCGACAUCUACAAGGUGAUUCUAGAAUUUGAGUUUUGAUUCGGUAGUUUUAAUUAUUAAAGCUUUUGAUUUGUAUUUAAAAAAAAUUAAAAUUUAUAUUUCACUACAU